RNAcentral lists this long non-coding RNA (271 nucleotides) under Salvia miltiorrhiza (redroot sage). Its description in RNAcentral is "long non-coding RNA (SMIL_LNC012832)". The record is from RNAcentral. Lineage: Eukaryota; Viridiplantae; Streptophyta; Magnoliopsida; Lamiales; Lamiaceae.
GAUUCUGCAAUUGGGGGCGGUGACGUUCGAGGGAGAAUUCGAGUUUCCAUUUCGAUUAUGUGAUUUUUAGGAGCAAUGACGCCGAUUUGGAAUUCCCGAUUUGGGGCUUGGGAACUUGAUUUCGUGAUUUUCCUCAUCUGACGGCGAUUGACGCCGGAAAAGUUGGUCGGAGAAGAUGAGAUGUGAUUUUUUUUAAUGAACGGUGUGCAGAUUAGCCCCCGAACUCCAAAAAGGGAAAAGGUGCAGAUUAGCCCCUGAACUCCAAAAAAAC